ACAUUGAAUAGAGAGAGAACAUUCCCUACUUGGUUUUGCGUGCUUUUCCAUUAUUGUUGUGGUGUUUGCCUAUUUCGGAGACACUCUCCACCAACACCCCUGGGAGAGGAGAGAGAAAAGGGGGGACAUAGCGCAGGGGAAGGGCAGUGAUGCAAUUUCUCAAUCCAGUGGCUCCUUUUAGUCCCAUUAGCUAGGUAUGACCAACUAAUGAUGAACUAGUUGUUAGUUGGGGUGUGUGGACUAAAAAAUAGUUCACUCGUUAGUCCCUCUAUUUGUAUGGCCUAAUACUAAUUUUUAGGUGACUAACAAUUAGUCCUGGCAUGAAAGAGGCUCUUAAGUCCAGCAGCUACGUUACCGUACGUUUUUGUUGCUCUACAUAUAGAUGGGUCGACCCAUUCUGGAGGCCAGAAAGCAGCUUCGUUCCAGAGGUAGCCGUUCUCUUCUCCCACAAAGCUGACAAGCUGAUCGAUGGCUGCCGCUUCUUCCUUUGGCGACGACUCUGACCUCAUGGUUGCCGACGACAUGUACUUGAUAGCAGUUUGCCAAGGAAGAAACCAAGCAGACGCCACCGGGCUCAUGGCGAUUUCCGACGAGGAGUACGCCGCGGAACUCCAGCUUCAAGAGGUGAUCUUUGUUUCCUCCGCCAUGGCGAUGAUUGUUAAUUCCACCAUGGCAGCGACUGCGGCACAAUCGUCGCUCAUGCCGCAGCUUGAUAGCGCCAUCGUCGUCGUCGACACCGCCAACAAUGACACAACAGCUGCUGAGACGCCCGCCGUAGCUGAGUGCAGCUCCUCCUCCUCCUCGCCUCCGCCAUCUCUUGCAGUUGCAGCCCCUGCCACCGGGGAACAAGACGACGCAACUGCGGUGGCAACUUGCAAGAUCUGCCUGGACUACGUGCCACCGUCGCACGUGCACCACGCAAGUCGCGGCUGCGCGCACGCCUUCUGCGCAGCCUGCCUCUCCGGCUACAUCAGCGCAAAGACCCAAGGCGGCCGCAUCUCCGACGUCAAGUGUCCCGGGGACGGGGAGGACUGCUGCAACGUCCUUGACCCCGAACUCUGCCAAGGCAUCAUAUCCGGCGAGGCUUUCGAGGCCUGGUGCGCCGCACUAUGCAUGUCCAUGGUGGAGGGAGGCAGCAACUUUUGCUAUUGCCCCUUCGACGACUGCUCGGAGAUCUUGGUGGACGAUCGUGGCGGCGACGUGCCGGAGUCGGAGUGCCCGGCGUGCAGGAGGCUGUUCUGUGCACGGUGCCGCGUGCCAUGGCACGCUGGCAUUACCUGUGCCGAGUAUGGCCAAUUAGCACCUGGGGACAAGGGGAAGGAGGACUUAGUGGUGCUGGAGAUGGCCAAGGGGAAGAAGUGGAAGAGGUGCCCCCAGUGCAAGUACUUGGUCGAAAAACACGACGGCUGUGUGCACAUAACUUGCAGGUACUUUAGAUUGGAUGGUGUAACUUCGAGCAGUUAAUUUACAUUCUUGUACAUACAAGAAAGUAUGUACAACCCACUAGCUUAGUUGGCUAGCUGGGUUCAGUAGCACCCCACAGGUCUGGGUUCGAACCCUGGUUGGGGCGAAUUUCUGCCUGUGGGUUAAAAAACCCCCCCUUGCUGUGGUCGCCGCGAGGCUUGGCCCUCUCGGGCAUGGGUCAGGGUUCGAGUGGUUUCUCGGCCGGGAGAAGCCGGGUUGCUUCCUCUUAAUGAAAAACGGUGUGGCUUCCAGUUCUGCUAUGCAUGUGGCAAUCCGUGGGGACAGCUUGAUCAUUCCUCUUGCAACACAGCGUGAAAGCUGAUUUUGCUCAUAAUCCGGCGGUGGAAAGCGAAUGAAGUUCCACGAUCCAUGCAGUCAAACUAUUUUUAGUUAUAUAUGGCACAUGCAGCCCAACUAUUUCUCGUCAUAUAUGACACUACCGCAGAAGUAAAAACUAAUAAGUGUAGUUCAAUAACACAUGUAGUCAAACUAUUUUUGAUUUUAUGAGCUAUGUAUGUCAUUGUGGUAGUACUACAUAAAUUUCUAUCAUAAUUUUUUAAAUAAAUUAUGAUAGAGAUUUUUAUAGUAGUGCUAUAAAGACAUACAUAGCUGAUAAAAAGCAAAAAUAGUUUGACUGCAUGUAUUAUAGGCCUACACAUAAAAGCAAUUUUUUGCUCUUAUGUGUAGACCUAUCGUACAUGCAUUUAAACUAUUUUUGCAUUUAUGAACUUUGUAUAUCUUUAUGGCGCACUACUAUAGAAAUGAAAUAAAUUAUCUUCAUUGCAGUA
RNA transcript from Panicum virgatum (switchgrass), 2252 nucleotides. It is a transcript of the gene named probable E3 ubiquitin-protein ligase RNF217, with no coding region annotated. The transcript is spliced from 3 exons. The record is from RefSeq and is a predicted model, not a curated record. Lineage: Eukaryota; Viridiplantae; Streptophyta; Magnoliopsida; Poales; Poaceae.